RNA transcript from Ahaetulla prasina, 7061 nucleotides. It is a transcript of the gene named kelch like family member 15, with no coding region annotated. The transcript has 2 exons. NCBI's taxonomy places the organism in Eukaryota, Metazoa, Chordata, Lepidosauria, Squamata, Colubridae. The record is from RefSeq and is a predicted model, not a curated record.
GGUUGUCGACUUUUGUGAGGCAGCGGAGGCAGCGAAUAGGGCUGCUGCUAUGCGUGAAAUGGGAAGGUGGCGACACUGGGAAAUUGCGACGCCCUCAGCAGCAGUAGAGACUUCGUAUUCAUGGAGAUUUUUCCUUCUCCUUUUCUGUAUUUCUCUGCUUUUCUUAAGGUGGCGGUGGCUGUGGCGGCAGCAACAACAGCAGAAGUGACGGUCAGUGUGGGGUGCUUGUCGUUGGGGGAAGAUGCCGACUGUGGCUGUUCUAGGCAAACCAGAAGGACUAACAUCCUUGUUGCAGGAGGGCCGAAUGUCAGCCUCCACUCACCAAUCUUCAUUGCUAAUUGUGUAUUUUAUAUUUUGGUAGAUUGCUUAGUUUGUUACCUUGUCUAGUGCUAAGUAAUUCAAUGUUCUAUGCUGUAUUACUGCCUUACAUGAUAAAUGGGGUGAGGGCCCUUUAAGAGCAUCGGCUGACAAUUAAUGGAAAGGAGGAGUAAGGGAUUCAAACCAGCAUGAUGGCUAGAGGCACGGAACCAUCAACGAACCCUGCAUUCCAGGCAUUCCAAGCAGAAGGAGAUCAUCGGAAGGAGUUUACCACGUGGUCCAUGAGGGGAUUGGCAUUGGCCCAGAUCUGCCUGACCUUUGGGGGGAGGAGGGACUAAUGAGGGGGAAAGUGUAAGCCAUUUCUGUUUCAGUUCUAGCUUUUCUACGAUUGAAUUCAGAUAUAUUCAGUAAAAGUACUUUUCUUUAUUUUCAAAUGAAGUCAAGGUGUUUCUUUCCUGAAUAUUAAUCGGAGGCAGUCUGACAUCGCUGCUGCCACCCUGGAGGAGAAGAAUGUGAGAAAUGGGCUUUCUUGCAGCGCCUUCUCUGUCUCUUCUCCUGAGUAGCAGUGGUGCGUCCGGCUCACCGAAUCUGGCCUGCUGAUCUCAAGCGGCAGCAACAGUGGCUCUGACCCGAUCUUCGCCGACAAUGCUGUUGGCAAGCACUGGACACGCAGAUCCUGCUUCAUGGCUGUGCAAACAGUCCGCUAAGAGAAGGCGCGCGUGAGCUAGGGUUUGCAGGAGUGGCCUCCACAAGGACGUUCCAUGUGGAUGGCAGGUACGUGUGGGGUAUAUUCCCCCCCUUCACCCCAAGGCCUCGCCUCCUCACCUCGUGCUGUUUGCACGGGAAGCAACGAAAAAGCUGCCAUGAUUGCUGGAGGCAGCGGUCUGAGUGGCAGCUGAUCAAUGCUCUGGCACCAGUCCCCCUGCCCCCUGCCAUGGGCCAAGGUUUAGGGGCCUUCUGCACCUCAAAAAUAAUAAGACCCCCCGAUAAUAAGGCCAAGGCCAUAUUUUGGGGGGUCAAAAGAAAAUAAGACCCUGUUUUAUUUUUGGGGAAACAUGGUACAUAAUACUUAACCUAUCUAUUAUUGUAACAUUUCUCUUCUUAUUUAACUUUAUAAUACCUUGCUUUCAUAUUUAUUCUCUAACCAUUGAUAAAAUAAAUCCCAUAUAUUAUAGUAGCCAGAUUCUUUGUUUUCUUUAAUUGCAAGUGAUAAUCUGUUCAUUUCUGUACAUUGUAAUAUUUUCUUAAUCAUAUUUUCUUCUGUAGGGAUCUCUUCACCCUUCCAAUUCUGUACAAAUAUAAUUCUUGUUGAAUAUUACCUGAAUAAUCAAGUAUACAAUUUCUUUACCGUAAUUCCCUGGUAAAAUCGCCAACAGGAAUAUGCUGCCAGAUCAUCUUCUCCAACCACAUACAAAUUCUUCCCCUAGUAUUAUUUUGUUCUUACACACGUCUACCACAUAUAAUACCGUGUUUUCCAAAAAUAAGACCCUGUCUUAUAUUUUUGAACCCCAAAAUAAGGGCUUCGCCUUAUUGGGGGGAUCUUAUUAUUUUGGGGGGGCAGGAGGCAGUGAGCGUGGCCACCUCAUGGUUACUGCUAUGUUGUGCGUAGGUUCUGAAAUCUCAGAUAAUAAUCUGCUUGAUCCAUUUCUAAGGAGAUAAUUGUCUUCUCUUUGUUUCUGUCUGCCGCUGUCAGUAUAUAAUCAAGCUCUCCCACUCUUUUUUCUGUUAAUUUGGCUUUUUCUUCUACCUUUUGCAUUGUUUGCUCAUUUUUUUCCAUAAUCCCUUGAACAUUUUUAAUUCCCCUUCUACUUUCUCCAUUCUCAUUUAAUUUGCCUAUUCUUUCCUUCAACUCUUCAUGAAGAGCUUGUAUCAUAUUCCUUAAUUCUAAUUGCAUAGCAUUGGGGUUUUUUUGUUCUGCCAUAGAAUCUAAUGUUCUUUGACAAGCAGGACUAGAAGUUGCGGAGGAUGAUCCUGAGGACAAUGCUGAUGUUGUUUUCUUCAUCUUGUAAUGUCUUGAUCUUUGUAAUCCACUAGAUACAGCUUAUUGUAUUUCCAAGCCAAUUUAUAUCCAAGUAUAGGCCCGCCAAAAAACAAAAAAAGAGCAGCAAAAUGCAAGGAAAUGAAAAAAAAAAUAGAAAACAGGAGUAGUAACCUAAAUGACAAAAAAGAAAAAAGAGAAGCCAAAAAGUUUUGUAAUCCAGAUCUUAGAGGGUUUUUUUGCUUCUCUUCUUCAGGUUUUUCUUACCUUAAUCCAAAUUACUGUAUUUCUCAGAGUAUAAGACGCACCAGACUAUAAAACACACUUACCUUUUUUGGUGAGGAAAACAAGAAAAAGAAAUCUGCCUCUGCCUCCCAGCAAUUUUGCCUCAUUGCAGCAAACAGCAAAUAGCCUGCUUUACUUUCAUUUUUUUUUUCAGCAUAGCUUGAUUAGGACAAGAAAAUUUUUUUGCUCCCAGCAAUUUACCUCCUUGCAGCAAGCAGCAGAGGCCCACCCAGCAAUAGGCAAUAGCAAUCAUUGCAGCCUGAAAAAAGCUGAGAGUCUGGAGGCCGAUCAACUUGUGAUAAUUAGGCUGUGCUGAAAGUGAAAUGGGCUGAUUCUUCUUCCUGCAAGUAGUUAAAUUGCUGGGAGGCAGAGGGUGGGCGGGGCUAUAUUCGGCGUAUAAGACGCACCCAAAUUUUUGCCCCCUUUAAGGGGCAGAAAAGGUGCGUCUUAUACUCUGAAAAAUAUGGUACCUCAGAGAGAGGAAAAAUAAAAUUUAUAAUCCAAAUCAACCUCCCAGGCCCCAAAUUCCAGUUAUUCCGAAGGAAAAAUUCACAAUGUUACCACAUGGCAGCAAAAAAAUAUAAAUAGGAACAAUAGAGGAACAAAUAACAGCCAUUUUGAAAAAAAAAAAUUAUAAGCCUUAUUUCAAAGUGCCACUAAAAAAAAAGAAAGGAAGAAUUUCCUCUUGGCCUGUUCUGUUAUUUUGCCUUUUAAGUUCCAAGAGCUGUACUAUUCAGAUGAAAAACAACAAAGCUUCCAGUGCUCCACUCUCUGACAAUCCAAAUAACUUCUUAUCAAUUUAAUUCACAGGCUCACAAGGUCAUAUCUCAUCCUUGCUCUAACAGUUUCCAAUUUUCACUAUUACCUCUAGCAGGCACUGUUGCUCAGUUCAGUUCAAAGGGAAGACAAAAAAAGUGAAAAAAAGAGAAAAAAGUUUUUUCCCUUUAAAAAAAAGGAGUUCUUAUAGUCACUUUUAGCUUGGUUGUUAUUCCCCAAUUUGAAAAUUAAAAUAUUCACUCUAGUUUUCUGACUUCGCUCUUCAAACAGCUCUUUCUAAGCCAAUUCUUAGUUCUUUUGGCUCCUCCUGCCUUCCUCGCCACUGUUCUUCCGGAGGUGGAAGAAAAAGGCCAAUUCCAUCUCCUUCUUUUAAGCCCCCUCUCUUCUCCUCUGUUCUUUCAAGGGGGUUCUUUACAACAAUUUCAAAAAAAGUUUUAAAAGAAUACAGAUCUCACCCAAACCAAUCACACUUUCAUCCACCUCCGCGCUCUUGCUGUGACUGCCCCAGCUUCAUAGCGAUUCACAAUGGCCUUCUCAGUUGUUGGCUUAGGGAGCUUUUUCCGGAUCAAUCAGGGAAUUUGCAAAUUCCCUGAGAUCAUUGGAAUGUGCUCCCCUUGCUCACUGUCCCUACAAGACAGCUUUGGUCCCUAGAGACCACUUGGCAAUGGAGAUAGCGAUGGCUUCCUCAGGAGCCCCUCGGGAGCAUGUUGUCUUGCUGCGAUGCUAGCCAUGCCCUUUUUCAUCUGCUUGAAGAUUCUCAAUAGCACCUCCUGCCAGAGCUUCUUAAGGUAAUGUAAAGAAUCUAUGAAGGAUAUAUUGCACCUUUUGAUCUCGAUAUUACUUUUAUAGUGACUGAAACAGGAUAGAAUCUUUGUGUGUGUUUGUCUCCCACUCCAUUCUCUUAUUUAAAUGUUGGUAAUUUAAUUCUGUAUCCUUUAAAGCAGGGGUAGUCAAUCUUUUUAUACCUACCACCCACUUUUGUAUCUCUGUUAGUAGUAAAAUUUUCUAACCGCCCAUCGGUUUCACAGUAAUGGUGAUUUAUAAAGUGUAUCAUCGUCUGCGUAUGCCUCUCACACAUCGUGGAUUGAGUUGUGGGGGGUGGCACCGGCUACCAGCUCUGCUUGUCUGUUACAUUUGGGUGGUGUGGGGGGAGAUGCGCGAGCUAUUCCGGAACAAGGCUCUUUUGUUUGCAGUCGCACUAUAACGCCAUUUAAUUUCACUUACAUAACGUGAAUUAAACUUACGUGUGGGCGAUACAAAUAGCAUAUUUUUAGAAAUUUAAAUUGUCAUGAGGAAUUUUAUGAAAACCUAAUGAAAAUGUUUUUAAAUAAUGCUAUGAAAUUUUUUUUAAAAGUCAAUUAAAUUAAAAAAAAGGAAAGUGCUUCAGUAUUUGACAAAACCCCUACCGCCCACCAUGAAAGCUGGAACGCCCACUAGUGGGCAGUAGGGACCCGGUUGACUACCACUGCUUUAAAGGAAGGUUCUAUAUCCUGUCUGACUACUUAGGAUGGAAUAAUGUAAAAUACAUACUGGAACUGCAGUUGGGAUAUUUCUUUCAAGUCUUCCCACCCUGAUCUGCAUAGAGUUAGAAUAGUCUAAAACAGUGGUUCCCAACAUUUUUUUGGCCAUGCCCCACCUAAGCAUCACUAAAAUCCUUAUGCCCCCCUGUAACAUAUAAUUCUUGCUAUUCAAAAAAGUGAACUACUCACGCGGAAGAAGCCUAAAAUGCCAUUAACUUGGUUUAAAGAAGGUUCCAAAGAACAUGGCAUCCACGAAAGAGAAAAAUAAAAAAACGAAAGACAGUAGAAGUACAGAGGAACUUAAAUAAUAGUAUGAAGGGAUAUGAAAAAGCAGCAGGUAAAGUUUCAAAACAUAUAAUAGAGAACUGAAAUGCAUAAAUAUAAAUAUAAAAUAAUUUUAAUGAAAGCGUUUUCUGUAAUAUUUUGAUCGUAUUAAUUACUAUACAUAUUAAAAUAAAGUUACCUAACAAAUUCAAAAUACAAUUUGAGCUCACCUCAAAAUCAUACUUACAACGCAAUCCUAUACAUGUCUACUCAGAAGUAAGUACCAUUGGGGGACGUGGCCAGCGUCGAGGCGGUACGGCAUGGAUCCCUGAUGCUCUGGGAAAACACCGAUAUUCCAGUUGAUUAGGGGAUCCUUAAAGGAUCAUAGCUGGUAUGAACAGGGAAAUUGCAAGUUCCCUGGAGUGCCGGCAUUAGCCUCUGACCCAGCGGCAUGGGAAAACAGCCAUUAGGCACUGUCAAAAGCCGGGGUGGCCACACGAAAAACAUGAGCAGGAGCGGUAAUUGAAUGGAGUAUUGUUACUGGGUGAGUGAUUGCCCAACUCACAGGUAAGAAGGAAAUUGUCAGGCGUGCCUCCUUUCAAAACUCAAGAAAGAAAAACCCCAACUCCAUUAUUUGUAGAGAAAGAUAUCUUUUACUGAGAAUGAACUGAUUGCAAUGAAGUAAAGCAAGUUCUGAAUAAUCUUACACAUACAUGUUCCCACAUAAAUCCCUCCUCCCUCCAAAGGUCAGUCAGUUGUGUCCAAUCCACCUCUCCCUCAGGGGUCACGUGGGGGUCAUCUUCAGAUGAUUUAAUUUCUCUGGUGUGCACGAACUGUUGGCUACAAUGGUUAUCAGCCCGCUUCUUAGAUUUUGAAUUCAUAAGUUUCAUUUCUGCAUUAGCCCCCCGCCAUGGCAGCCGAAGCAGCUAGCCCAUAAUUAAAGAUACAUUACCCCUUUCCAAUGCCUAGCACUAAAGACAGCAAUAAAACAAUUAGCUGAGCUAUAAAACAAUAAAAGCAGCAUGCGGAGGCUGACAUUUGGCCCUCCUCCAGAAAGGACGUUAGUCCUAUUAAGAGAGAUUAGUCAAGGUUUAUCAGACUAUUUCUCAUAGAACAAUGCCGGUUUCUUUGGGGCCUGAACAUCCUCCUUAUUCACCCAUUCCGCUUGGGACAAAGAAGAAUGUUUCCACGCCACCAAGUAUUGUACUUUACCCCUUUACAAUGGGCUACAUUAUUAUGAAAUAGCCUAGAAUCUAGAAUCUCUUUAACUUCAAAAUGUUGUUCCCCUUCAAUGAGAAUUGGCACUGGAGGAGUAGUAGCUAUCGAUCUAAGAGGGGAUGUGUGUUCAGAUUUCAAUAAGCUAACAUGGAAUACAGGGUGAAUUCUUCGCAAGGGUUUUGGUAAUUGUAAUUGUACGGUGACUGGAUUUAUCACCCGCACAAUGGGGAAGGGACCAACUUAUCUAGGGCCAAGUUUUUUCGAUUUUUGAGUCAUUUGCAACUAUUUGGUAGAUAGAAAAACUUUAUCUCCCACUUGGAAAUUCUUGGCUGGAGUUCUUUUCCUAUCUGCCUGCUUCUUACACGAUCAAUGUGCUUCAUCUAAAGCCUUGCGAGUUAUCUUCCAGGUGCUUUGUACCUGUUCUAUCCAAUCAGCCAGUGAUGGAAUAGAUGGUUUCUCUUCAGGCAGUUCUGUGAUUGGAACAAAGUCUUGCUCAGAAGCAACCUUGAAAGGAGUGAAUCCAGUGCUGCUAUGUAUAGAAUUAUUAUAGGCCACCUCAGCAAAAGGUAGCAGGUCCGCCCUGUUAUCUUGUUGAUAAUUAAUGUAACACCUCAAAUAUUAUUCCAGAACUGAAUUGGAUCUCACAAGCCCCAUUAGUUUGAGGAUGGUGGGCGGAACUUAACCACUGGGCGGAGCCUAGU